Molecule: ribosomal RNA, 497 nt
Filed under: uncultured bacterium
Lineage: Bacteria
Description: partial 16S ribosomal RNA
Rfam family: Bacterial small subunit ribosomal RNA
Source: RNAcentral
GAUGAACGCUGGCGGCGUGCCUAAUACAUGCAAGUAGAACGCUGAAGGAAGGAGCUUGCUCUUUCCGGAUGAGUUGCGAACGGGUGAGUAACGCGUAGGUAACCUGCCUGGUAGCGGGGGAUAACUAUUGGAAACGAUAGCUAAUACCGCAUAACAGUAGAUGUUGCAUGAUAUCUACUUAAAAGGUGCAAUUGCACCACUACCAGAUGGACCUGCGUUGUAUUAGCUAGUUGGUGAGGUAACGGCUCACCAAGGCGACGAUACAUAGCCGACCUGAGAGGGUGAUCGGCCACACUGGGACUGAGACACGGCCCAGACUCCUACGGGAGGCAGCAGUAGGGAAUCUUCGGCAAUGGACGGAAGUCUGACCGAGCAACGCCGCGUGAGUGAAGAAGGUUUUCGGAUCGUAAAGCUCUGUUGUAAGAGAAGGACGAGUGUGAGAGUGGAAAGUUCACACUGUGACGGUAUCUUACCAGAAAGGGACGGCUAACUACGUG